This is a long non-coding RNA of Solanum lycopersicum (tomato), 799 nucleotides long. RefSeq lists it as uncharacterized. NCBI's taxonomy places the organism in Eukaryota, Viridiplantae, Streptophyta, Magnoliopsida, Solanales, Solanaceae. The record is from RefSeq and is a predicted model, not a curated record.
CUUAGUUAAAAUAGCAGGUUUAACAUCAUCCCUCUCAUCUCAUUAACUAUCUCCAUUCUCCUCACAGCCACCAGAAACGACCUUCAACCACCUGGAAAACACCAUGGCAGCCAGCAGCUCCAAAUGGCAAGCAACAAACCACAAGAUCUCCACUAAAAUCGACUCCAAACUACUGUUCUCAUAGCUCUGAGUAGCGAGCUAAACUAGCCCCCGAACAAUCUGUUCGAAAAAUAACUCCGACCACUGUCAGUCAUUAUUCCUUUUCCAUCUCCCCUUUUAAAAAUUUUCCUUUGUUUUGCAAGUACUUCAGUGAGCUAUGAGCUCUUAUUCCAGCGACCAACGAAUCCGGCGAACAAUUAGCUGACCCAAAACCACCGGAAAUAACUGCAGAACCACCGGACAACAAGACCCCGACUCCCUUCACCCUCUUUGCCAGAAAACUUGAGCUCGAAGCUCCAAAUGCCCACACACAGAGCAAUUAAAAACACGACUACUUCGUGAUUCCAAAUAGGCCCAGCAACGACAAUACUCCGAUGCAGGAAACCCAAUCAACAUCCAACGCCUUGUUGAUCGAGUUGAGCACUCGGGGUCAGUGAUGAGCCUCCUUGUAUUCCAGAGGACACUUUCAAUGUGUUUUCUAAUAUUUCAUUUAUAGGAUGGUGUGGGGUCUGUCCCAACAUCCAACUAGUAUAUUAGAGUCAGAUAAUUCACUUUUGGGUCUCUCCUUAUUCAGAGAUGUUUCAUAUUGAUACUUGAGUGUCGUUUUGGCCAGACUAAUAUAAUUGAGUAUUUCUCUUGA